Molecule: long non-coding RNA, 1119 nt
Filed under: Triticum aestivum (bread wheat)
Lineage: Eukaryota; Viridiplantae; Streptophyta; Magnoliopsida; Poales; Poaceae
Description: long non-coding RNA (TAES_LNC001448)
Source: RNAcentral
CCUUCAUCCAUCUAGAUCAUAUUGAGGCUCAUAAGCUCGUCGACUAUAGAUUUGAUUCCCACAUUCUCAUUAGUUUCACUUCAAUGUUCCAGUUUUUCUUCCAUGUUGUGAAGUCGCCACGCUUCUUGUAUGCCAUUGUUUUCUCUGCCAGAAGGCUAGAACUUUCUUAGUCAAUAUUCCUAUGAAGAAUGUAUCCAGAAUAAUAACUACGCACCUUUAUGAUUCAGGUAACUCAGAAGGAUGGUUGGGCAUGACUUUGUCGAGUGUCAAGCAAAAAAGUAAGAUUGCUAAAUAACAAUUACUAAAUCUGAUGAUUCAGGGGAAAAGUGCUUUGGCGCCACUUGUUCCGACGUCAAUUGGAGCAGUUGGUUGUGGCUUCGUCGGGCGUCGAGCAUGCUUCGACAUGACUUUGUCAGACAUCGAGCAAAGUUGCGCUGCCUGCUAUAGAAUCUUCUUUUAUUAAUGGUGUGCUUAGCCGGGCAACAGAUUUGGCUAGCUUCAAUAUUGGAUGUGUGCUGGUCAUGGCCAAGAUUUGGUUCGCUUCAAAUUUUUUUUGAGAAGCUCAAAGGUUGGGCAUGACUUCGUCCGGCGCCGGCACCAAGUUGCAUGCGAAACUUUAGUUUUUCCUGGCUUCGAUCUUUGUUGGGCAUACUAUCUACUGAGUUUGAAUUUUGUGGUUGUGUUUUGGUCGCAUAGUUCAGGCUGGCUUGUACUUUCUUGGGUGUGUGCUAGUUUGGCCGGCUAGAUGUGUUUAGUUUUCCAUGGUUGUGGGAUUCUGUGUGUUGCAUCCGAGAUCUUAUUUGCAUGCACGCAUCUGUGGAAAGACACAUAUAUUUCCUUGGCUUGUGAUUGUCUUAAACACGUGUCCAGUCUAUUUGGACAUGACACAAAGCACAACAUGUAUUUCUUAUUGCAAUCCUGGUCUCAUGUCAAUGCACGCCUUUCUUUUUUCCACGUACGUUAUGCUUCUAUUAUGAUGUAACGUGACAACAUGAAAGUUCAAUAUUGUUGGUACAUAUAUUUUUACAUGUUACGUAAGAACCUUUAAAUCUCAACUAUUGUUAUUCUAAUCAAAUGGUGUAAAAAAUAUUAGCAUAUGUGGACGAACCUCGUUUGACU